GACGAACGCUGGCGGCGUGCUUAACACAUGCAAGUCGAACGGAAAGGCUCCUGUUUGCAGGCGCACUUGAGUGACGGACGGGUAAGUAACACGUAGGCGACCUUCCCCGUCCUUAGGGCUAAGGGUGGCUAACUGUAUUACCUACUAGAAAUGCUGACGGCAUGGAUGGGAUUGUGAAAAGUUUUGCGGUUUGGGAUGAGCUCGCGGCUUAUCAGCUUGUUGGUGGGGUAUUGGCUUACCAAGGCGUGGACGGGUAGCCGGCCUGAGAGGGGGCACGGCCACAUUGGGACUGAGAUACGGCCCAGACUCCUACGGGAGGCAGCAGUGGGGAAUAUUGCACAAUGGGCGCAAGCCUGAUGCAGCGACGCCGCGUGGGGGAUGACGGCCUUCGGGUUGUAAACUGCUUUCGCUAGGGACGAAGCUUGUUGUGACGGUACCUGGAGAAGAAGCACCGGCUAACUACGUG
RNAcentral lists this ribosomal RNA (466 nucleotides) under uncultured bacterium. RNAcentral's name for it is "partial 16S ribosomal RNA". It matches the Rfam family "Bacterial small subunit ribosomal RNA", at positions 28 to 507 of the family's 1533-position model. The record is from RNAcentral.